Molecule: long non-coding RNA, 2567 nt
Organism: Onychostoma macrolepis
Lineage: Eukaryota; Metazoa; Chordata; Actinopteri; Cypriniformes; Cyprinidae
Exons: 4
Source: RefSeq, a predicted model, not a curated record
AGGGUGACAUAGUACAUCAUUCCUCUCCAGAAAACCAACAGCGCUCUAAAGGACCAAACUACUCUGUAGACCAAAUUAGGUCCAAGGAGACCUCAAAUGGAAGAUUGAUUGCACGGGUUGCCAGGAAUACCAAGUGCAAGAAUGAAUGGGGCAACUUGGGGCUUUUUUAAAGGGUAGACUGUGCAGAGGGAAUGCAGGACCCUGCUGGGCUCAGUGUUCUGACAGAAAUGUGUGCAAGUGAAGAGGUAGAUGGAUGAGAGGAUCAGCUGAGCUCCAGUGGAGCAAAACACUUGUUCAUAAACAAUCUCCUUCAUCAGCCCUUUUCAUAAACACCCCAACUACCCAAAUGAACAUUCUUUCAUUUUGUACUCACAUUUAUGUUGUUCCAAAGCCGUAUGCUGUUAUUUAUUUAUUUUUCUUCGGUUUUUGAAGAAUCUGCAGCUCUUUUUCACAGUGACUAUGACUAUCAGUCUUCAAAAACACUAUAAAAGUGCUCAAUAUGACUUCGGAGCAGUGUUAUUUUUGUGUUAUUUAUACACUAUUAUAGUAUUUAUAUCUUUUAAUUAUCUUAUUUUUAUCUUUUCAGUUUCCAUUUUAAUUUUAGUUUGUUUUAGCAAUUUUGUUAUUUGCUUUUUUUGUUUUUGUUUCAAAUAUUUAGAUAAAUAUUUAAUACAUUUUAUAAACAUUUGUAUAUUUACUUUUUGUUUUUUUGGUUUUAGCAAUUUUAUUACUUUAAUGUUUUUUUAAUUUAUUUUUUAAUUAAGUUUUCAAAUUUUUUUUUUAGUUUUUUAAGGUUAGGUUUUUCGUGUAAUAUUUAUUCUUUGAUUUAUUUCAGCUUUAUUUUAGUUUCAGGUUUUUUUCCGGCAUAAAAACCAUUCCUUUCAUUUAUAUUUUAAUGAAUAAAUAUUAAACAAGUCUUAUUUUUUGGAAAAUAAAGGGGAUUUAAUAUUGAUAAUAACAUUGAAGACAUUGUAUGAUUAUUCCUUAAAGAUAAGGUUUUAAUAGUUUUAGUAGUAGUAGCCUAUUAAGUACGUUCUACUGAACAAUAGUAAUAUAUUUCUGCCCAAUGCCUUCAAGUGAAACCGAACUUUUAUUUUGACGGGUUGCCUAGAAUACCUUUACAUUUCUGUGUGUAUAUGAUAUGAGGAUAGUUUUACUCAAAUUAAUCGGUCAAAUGCUCAUGAAGUGACUCUCAGAGCAGUUCUGGAGACCUUGUUCAUGUAUUUAUGUCCUCAUUUAGUGAGGCGGCAGACGUUAAUAUCACCGCAAGCGUCACGCGUAUGGCGUUCGGCCGGGCUCAUUAAUAUUACGCGGUUACAUAUGGUCAUAGUUCACGGAUGAAGGUGACACUGGAGUCUCAACACCUACUGUAGACAGUGAGUUUGACAGGCAGGCUCUUCAUACUGCUGAUGGGGUUCUCCACCCUACAGCUGUAGACGUCAUCAUCUGAUAUCACAACACGGGAGAUGGUCAGGAUCUUCUGGUCAUGUGACAGGAGCAGACGUGAGUCAUUGGUCAAAGAUUUCCCGCCCUUCUGCCAGCUAUAGUAAGGCUGAUGUAUCGCUCCCCAGUGAAGGUAUCAUCAGUGAUGGAGAUCUCCACCUCAUAGGCGCCCUCGUCUGACAGCUGCAGGUGAUGCAGGAGCAGCGAGCCGUUCUCGUACAGGAGGAUUCGUCCGCGGUACUCAGGCCUCAGGUUCCCGAUGAUGUCCGUACCAAUGGACUGGACCACAGUGACAGCCGGUUAUUGCAGUAUAAACUGCAAAUACACAUUGCUUGAACUCUCCAGUGAGACACCUGCUGGUAAACAGCUUUGUGUUUAUUGCUCCUGAGUGAGCCAACAUGUCCUUCCUUGCCCGCUUUGCCAGGGCAGUGCGAGUCAGUGUGGCAUGGCUCAAUCGCUGUGGCAACAAUUCUCAGUGUUGAGGUCUUGCCAGGAUGAGCUAACAAAGGUCUAGAUUGUAGGCUCGCUCUCCUCCAAUCAGGGGCAGGGUGCAAGAGACAUGUUCUUUUGUGGAUGGGGGGAUGUAGACAGUGGGGCCCAGUGAUUCUGCUAAUCAAAGCUCUCCAAGGAAGACUAGGCUUUAGUUAGGACAUGUUCUUGCAUUCGUCCCCUUCCUUGACACAUGGUUUUAAGAAAAUGUGAAGUCAUCAAGCUCAUGCCAACUCACUCAUGCCGUAGCGAUUGUUCUGAACUUGUUGUUCAGACUUUUUGCACAAAUCCAGCCUUUAAAAUAAAUCUAAUGCAUGGAUGGAGAUUAAAGACAACAUGAUUUUUUUUUUGUUGCCAAAAUGCAAAAACUGGUCUGUGGUGUGAUUAUUUAUUAUAAUUUUUUUUUAAAUUACAAUUUUCAGUGUGCAUAUUUUUUUUUAAAGUUUGUGUCAUAAUCAUUCCAUUUGCCUUCUAACUUCCUUACUAUUGCAUUCAUAUUAAAAAGACAGUAUUUCUAAUAAAAAGCAUUUCAAAAGUACAGUUUCAUCAAGUGCCCUAAUUAAUUCACUUGAGUGAUCGCUCUAUUUGUGAUAUGUGUCAUCCAGCCACCCACAAACAAAACACACACUGAAAAG